RNAcentral lists this ribosomal RNA (550 nucleotides) under uncultured bacterium. RNAcentral's name for it is "bacterial SSU rRNA". It matches the Rfam family "Bacterial small subunit ribosomal RNA", at positions 355 to 896 of the family's 1533-position model. The record is from RNAcentral.
UAGGGAAUCUUCGGCAAUGGGGGCAACCCUGACCGAGCAACGCCGCGUGAGUGAAGAAGGUUUUCGGAUCGUAAAGCUCUGUUGUAAGUCAAGAACGAGUGUGAGAGUGGAAAGUUUACACUGUGACGGUAGCUUACCAGAAAGGGACGGCUAACUACGUGCCAGCAGCCGCGGUAAUACGUAGGUCCCGAGCGUUGUCCGGAUUUAUUGGGCGUAAAGCGAGCGCAGGCGGUUUGAUAAGUCUGAAGUUAAAGGCUGUGGCUCAACCAUAGUUCGCUUUGGAAACUGUCAAACUUGAGUGCAGAAGGGGAGAGUGGAAUUCCAUGUGUAGCGGUGAAAUGCGUAGAUAUAUGGAGGAACACCGGUGGCGAAAGCGGCUCUCUGGUCUGUAACUGACGCUGAGGCUCGAAAGCGUGGGGAGCGAACAGGAUUAGAUACCCUGGUAGUCCACGCCGUAAACGAUGAGUGCUAGGUGUUGGAUCCUUUCCGGGAUUCAGUGCCGCAGCUAACGCAUUAAGCACUCCGCCUGGGGAGUACGACCGCAAGGUUG